AAGACAGAAGACCUUUCCUCCAACAAAACAACUGGGAAUAAUCUUGUUUUGGAGUAUUCCUGAUAGCUUGCAUAUACAACUAGCCCUACCAUUAGACAGACUGAGCCAAUCACGUGAGGCAGCUAUUGACGUCACCUCACCACAGACUCCAAGGCAACACUGGGGCCAUGCAGUGCCCUCCUUCACCAUCUGGGAGCUGUUUGUGAAUUUCUGCACCAGGUCCUUCCAGCCCUGCCUCUUAUGACAUCAGUCUCCAUACUUGGUCUUUUUGGACAAGAUUGGGUUAGUAUGCAUCUGCUGUGCUCCUCCAUCU
Molecule: non-coding RNA, 313 nt
Organism: Pogona vitticeps (central bearded dragon)
Lineage: Eukaryota; Metazoa; Chordata; Lepidosauria; Squamata; Agamidae
Source: RefSeq, a predicted model, not a curated record